Anolis carolinensis (green anole) is the source of this 1500-nucleotide long non-coding RNA. Lineage: Eukaryota; Metazoa; Chordata; Lepidosauria; Squamata; Anolidae. The record is from Ensembl.
CCGUAUUGCAUUAGGAUCAACAGAGUCAAGGUUGGUGCUUCCCUCCAUGGGAUGAGAAAUCUCAAAGUGGAAAGAGGAGAGCAGACGUGCUGGGCGCAUGGCAGCAUGGUGCACAUACACAGGCAAGGGAGAAUUCACAAGGUUGGAGGGAAGCUCACACCAGCAAAUGCCUUCAUGGCUGGGGGGAAGGCACCCAUGUGACGUGGGACUGAGAGGAGCCCAGCAGCAUCAGGAGGAGGCACAGCAGCAGAAGCAACUUAGCAUGUAGGUUUUUGAAAUUUUAGGAUGAAGGCUUGAUACGUGGCAACAAGAGUCAAGAAACAAGGUCCGUGGCGAGGUCCGUGGAAACAAGGAAAGCUGGAUGCAAGAACGAGGUCCGUGAAACAAGGCUUGGAACUUGGUCCUGGAGGCAAGGGACUGGAGUAGCGUAGUCCACACACAAUCUCACUCCACAAGGUGACGAAUUGACUCCGCAAGGAUUUCUUUGCGGGUAAACACCUAUAUAGGAUCUUGUUUUCCUGCCAAGGAACACUUUCCCUGGGAAACAAGAAACAAAACCCAUACUGUGUCCAGAUGCAUGACUCCUUAAAAUUUCCCAAGGGAAACAGGCUUAAUCAGCUAAUUGUCUGGCAGCAAUCCUGGCGCUUCUGCGAAUCGCCUCCUUAGCGCCUCUAUCUCGAUUAUAAUAAUCCCGGCGAGAAAAUGGGGGAGAUUUCUGCUCAAGGCUUGUUUGGCUGACUUCUUGUGGGCAAACAUCUUGCAGGUGCAAGGGCUCCAAUUCUGGCUGAAACGGUGGGAAACCCAAGUCUUCCUCUUCAUCUGCUACAAUAGUACUAGGAACGGGACUACAUGGCCCAUGAGUCAUCACACUAGCUGAUUUUCUUCUGAAAUUCUUUGAUGUGCUCCAUUAUUAAACUCAUGUUUGCAAUAUGAGCCUUAAUUCCUCUUCCUUUUCUGAACCAAACAUGGACUUCUGGUAUUAUUCAAAAAUGUUGAAAGUUUUUGUUAUAGAAUUUUAAGUAUCAUUUUAUUUGCAUUAGAAGUUAAUGCAGUGGUCUUAUGGUGGCUAGUGCGAUCUCUCCUUUCCUCUUUCUCAGGGACUGCAAUCCAUACUGAGUGUUUCCAAUUCUUUUGUUUUCUACAUUUGUUGGCAGAUUUUAGCUUUUUAUCACAAACUUUUUUGUAUAUAGGCAAAGGUCUGUGUAUACAGAAUAAAACAAACAAAAUUUAAAAGAAAGUACUGGAACUAUAAGACAUAACUUGAAAACAUUUUUAUAACCUCCUGUAAAACAAACAAAUAAAAAAGAAUACAAAUAAUAUGUAGGCUACAAUAUAUCCCUUAAUGAAACAAAUAUGAAAAAUAUCUACAUAUUAGCUAACAAUUCUACUCCUAAUUUCUAAGGUGUACAGUUCUUUUAUAACUGAAUUGUAUGUGACACAACUAUUUCUCUAGUGGUAGAAUAAAAGAGGACAGAACAAAUAAUGAAUUACCUCAUCAAU